Molecule: ribosomal RNA, 1496 nt
Filed under: uncultured Bordetella sp.
Lineage: Bacteria; Pseudomonadati; Pseudomonadota; Betaproteobacteria; Burkholderiales; Alcaligenaceae
Description: partial 16S-23S ribosomal RNA intergenic spacer
Rfam family: Bacterial small subunit ribosomal RNA
Source: RNAcentral
GUUCGUUAAAACCAGAUUGAACUGUGGCGGGAUGCUUUACACGUACAAGUCGAACGGCAGCUGGACUUCGGUCUGGUGGCGAGUGGCGAACAGGUGAGUAAUGUAUGAACGUUAACACAAGUAGCGGGGGGAUAACUACGCGAAAGCGUAGCUAAUACCGCAUACGCCCAUCAGAGGAAAGCGGGGGACGCUUCAGGCCUCGCACUAGAGCGGCCGAUAUCGGAUUAGCUAGUUGGUGGGGUAACGGCUCGCAAGGCGACGAUCCGUAGCUGGUUUGAAGAGAGGACGACCAGCCACACUGGGACUGAGACACGGCCAGACUCCUACGGGAAGCAGCGAGUGGGGGAAUUUUGGACAAUGGGGAAACCUGAUCCGGCCAUCCCGCGUGUGCGAUGAAGGCCUUCCGGGUUGUAAAGCACUUUUGGCAGGAAAGAAGCGGCACAGGAUAAUACCCCGUGCAACUGACCGUGCCACCAGAAUAAGCACCGGCUAACUACGUGCCAGCAGCCGCGGUAAUACGUAGGGUGCAAGCGUUAAUCGGAAUUACUGGGCGUAAAGCCAUUGCGCAGGCGGUUCGGAAAGAAAGAUGUGAAAUCCCCAGAGCUUAACUUUGGAACUGCAUUUUAACUACCGAGCUAGAGUGUGUCAGAGGAAGUGGAAUUCCCGCGUGUAGUGAAAUGCGUAGUAUGCGGAGGAACACCGAUGGCGAAGGCAGCCUCACCUGGGAUAACACUGACGCUCAUGCACGAAAGCGUGGGGAGCAAACAGGAUUAAGAUACCACCAUUGGUCCCACCCCUGGCUGAUGUCAACUAGCUGUUGGGGCCUUCGGACGCGAAGUGGCGCAGCUAACGCGUGAAGUUGACCGCCUGGGGAGAUACGGUCGCAGAUUAAAACUCAAAAGGAAUUGAAGGCGGGGACCCGCACAAGCGGUGGAUGAUGUGGAUUAAUUCGAUGCAACGCGAAAAACCACCUACCCUUGACAUGUCUGGAAUCCCGAAGAGAUUUGGGAGUGCUCGCAAGAGAACCGGAACACAGGUGCUGCAUGGCUGUCGUCAGCUCGUGUCGUGAGAUGUUGGGUUAGAAAAUUCCGCAACGAGCGCCAACCCUUAUCGUGUAGUUGCUACGAAGAGGCACUCUAAUGAGACUGCCGGUGACAAACCCGGAGGAAGGUGGGAAUAGUCAAGUCCUCAUGGCCACUUAUGGGUAGAGACUUCACGUCAUACAAUGGUCGGGACGAGAUUAACCAACCCGCGAGGGGAGCCAAUCCCAGAAACCCGAUCAUGGUCGGAUCGCAGCCUGCAACUCGACUGCGUGAAGUCGGAAUCAGCUAGUAAUCGCGGAUCAGCGUAUGCUUGGUGAAUACGUUCUGGUCUUGUACACACCGCCCGUCACACCAUGGGAGUGGGUUUUGCAAGUAGUUUAGCCUAACCGUAAGGAGGGCGAUUACCACGGUAGGAUUCAUGACUGGGGUGAAAUUCGUAACUUUCAAAGUGGC